This 465-nucleotide ribosomal RNA is filed under the name uncultured bacterium. RNAcentral's name for it is "partial 16S ribosomal RNA". It matches the Rfam family "Bacterial small subunit ribosomal RNA", at positions 28 to 507 of the family's 1533-position model. The record is from RNAcentral.
GACGAACGCUGGCGGCGUGCUUAACACAUGCAAGUCGAACGGAAAGGCACUGCUUGCAGGGUACUCGAGUGGCGAACGGGUGAGUAACACGUGGGUGAUCUGCCCUGCACUUCGGGAUAAGCCUGGGAAACUGGGUCUAAUACCGGAUAUGACCUUCCAUGUAGUGUGGGGGGUGGAAAGAUUUAUCGGUGUGGGAUGAGCCCGCGGCCUAUCAGCUUGUUGGUGGGGUAAUGGCCUACCAAGGCGUCGACGGGUAGCCGGCCUGAGAGGGUGGACGGCCACAUUGGGACUGAGAUACGGCCCAGACUCCUACGGGAGGCAGCAGUGGGGAAUAUUGCACAAUGGGCGGAAGCCUUAUGCAGCGACGCCGCGUGGGGGAUGACGGCCUUCGGGUUGUAAACCUCUUUCGACAGGGACGAAGCUUCGGUGACGGUACCUGGAUAAGAAGCACCGGCUAACUACGUG